Jaculus jaculus (lesser Egyptian jerboa) is the source of this 133-nucleotide small nucleolar RNA. Lineage: Eukaryota; Metazoa; Chordata; Mammalia; Rodentia; Dipodidae. The record is from Ensembl.
AAGCCAGCCAAUUAAUCUACUUAUCUGAAUGUGUUUCUGCAGAAAUUUAGGAAGAGCUGACAAUAGUGAUGCCGUUUUAUGAGCCCCAAGGACAACAACCAGGCCAUUAUGGUCCCUGAAAAUGACUACAAUA